UCCAGACUCCUACGGGAGGUAGCAGUGGGGGAUAUUGCACAAUGGGGGAAACCCUGAUGCAGCGACGCCGCGUGGGUGAAGAAGUAUUUCGGUAUGUAAAGCCCUAUCAGCAGGGAAGAAAGAAGACGGUACCUGACUAAGAAGCCCCGGCUAACUACGUGCCAGCAGCCGCGGUAAUACGUAGGGGGCGAGCGUUAUCCGGAUUCACUGGGUGUAAAGGGAGCGUAGACGGCCGUGCAAGCCAGGAGUGAAAGCCCGGGGCCCAACCCCGGGACUGCUCUUGGAACUGUGCGGCUGGAGUGCGGGAGGGGCAGGCGGAAUUCCUGGUGUAGCGGUGAAAUGCGUAGAUAUCAGGAGGAACACCGGCGGCGAAGGCGGCCUGCUGGACCGCGACUGACGUUGAGGCUCGAAAGCGUGGGGAGCGAACAGGAUUAGAUACCCCGGUAC
Molecule: ribosomal RNA, 447 nt
Filed under: uncultured bacterium
Lineage: Bacteria
Description: bacterial SSU rRNA
Rfam family: Bacterial small subunit ribosomal RNA
Source: RNAcentral